GACGAACGCUGGCGGCGUGCUUAACACAUGCAAGUCGAACGGAAAGGCCCUGCUUUUGUGGGCUUCUCUAGUGGCGAACGGGUGAGUAACACGUGAGUAACCUGCCCUUUACUUUGGGAUAACUUCUGGUAACUGGGGCUAAUACCGCCUAGUAGCUCCUGCUGCAUGGUGGGGGUUGGAUAGUUUCGGCGGUUGGGGAUGUACUCGCGGCUUAUCAUCUUGUUGGUGGGGUAGUUGCUUACCAAGGCAUUGACGGGUAGCCGGCAUGGGAGGGUGAACGGCGAAAAUGGGACUGAGGGAGGGAGCAGAGGGGAACGGGAGGCGACAGUGGGAAAUAUGACACAAUGGGGGGAAGCGUGAUGAAGAAACGCCGGGGGCGGGAUGAAGGCCUACGGGUUGUAAAGCGAUUUAGGAUGAGACGAAGCGUGAGUGACGGUAAUGGGUAAAGAAGCACCGGCUAACUACGUG
Molecule: ribosomal RNA, 468 nt
Filed under: uncultured bacterium
Lineage: Bacteria
Description: partial 16S ribosomal RNA
Rfam family: Bacterial small subunit ribosomal RNA
Source: RNAcentral